AUUGAACGCUGGCGGCAGGCCUAGCACAUGCAAGUCGAACGGUAACAGGAAGAAGCUUGCUUCUUUGCUGACGAGUGGCGGACGGGUGAGUAAUGUCUGGGAAACUGCCUGAUGGAGGGGGAUAACUACUGGAAGCGGUAGCUAAUACCGCAUAACGUCGCAAGCCCAAAAAGGGGGACCUUCGGGCCUCUUGCCAUCGGAUGUGCCCAGAUGGGAUUAGCUAGUAGGUGGGGUAACGGCUCACCUAGGCGACGAUCCCUAGCUGGUCUGAGAGGAUGACCAGCCACACUGGAACUGAGACACGGUCCAGACUCCUACGGGAGGCAGCAGUGGGGAAUAUUGCACAAUGGGCGCAAGCCUGAUGCAGCCAUGCCGCGUGUAUGAAGAAGGCCUUCGGGUUGUAAAGUACUUUCAGCGGGGAGGAAGGGAGUAAAGUUAAUACCUUUGCUCAUUGACGUUACCCGCAGAAGAAGCACCGGCUAACUCCGUG
This 490-nucleotide ribosomal RNA is filed under the name uncultured bacterium. RNAcentral describes it as "partial 16S ribosomal RNA". It matches the Rfam family "Bacterial small subunit ribosomal RNA", at positions 30 to 507 of the family's 1533-position model. The record is from RNAcentral.